CCUGGUUUUCUCUUCCUGAUAUAUGGCUGGGCAUUUUUCAGAUAUAUUGCCAAAAACACCAGUACCUCCAGGGGGACUCAUCGUGAUCUCAGUUUACCCAGGAAGAAACAGACACCAGAGGAGAAAAGUGUCAGCUGUGAGACAGCUGCUCAGCAAGGCACUGGCUUGGCCCCAGAACAUGUCACCUUGCUGUGGCCAGGGAAGGGUAUCUGUAUGAUCCUUUAAAAGCAACGGCACGCUUGCUGAGUUUCGUGUCCUGUCUUACAAGCCGUAGCCUACCCACCUGGGGAUCCAUGCCAUACUGGACGCUAUUGUGGAUGCUGGCAAGUGCUUGCUGCUGGAAGCCUGAUACGGCUGUCUCCUGAGAGGCUCUGCCAAGGCCUGACAAAUACAGAGGCAGAUGCUGGUAGCCAACCACUGGACUGAGCACAGGGGUCCCAGAUGGAGGAGUUGGAGAAGGGACUGAAGGAGCUGAGGGGGUUUGCAGCCCCAUGGGGGGAGCAACAAUGUCAACUGGUCGGACCCCUUCCCACCCCUCUCACCUCCCCACCCCCCACCCCCGAGCUCCAGGGGACUGGACCACCAACCAAAGAGUGCACAUGAAGGGACCCAUGACUCUGGCUGCAUAUGUGGCACAGGAUGGCCUGGUUGGACCUCAGUGGGAGGAGAGGCCCUUGGGCCUGAGGGUGGUCGAUGCCCCAGUAUGG
Long non-coding RNA from Apodemus sylvaticus (European woodmouse), 707 nucleotides. RefSeq lists it as uncharacterized. Lineage: Eukaryota; Metazoa; Chordata; Mammalia; Rodentia; Muridae. The transcript is spliced from 3 exons. The record is from RefSeq and is a predicted model, not a curated record.